RNAcentral lists this ribosomal RNA (497 nucleotides) under uncultured bacterium. RNAcentral describes it as "partial 16S ribosomal RNA". It matches the Rfam family "Bacterial small subunit ribosomal RNA", at positions 28 to 507 of the family's 1533-position model. The record is from RNAcentral.
GAUGAACGCUGGCGGCGUGCCUAAUACAUGCAAGUCGAGCGAACGGACGAGAAGCUUGCUUCUCUGAUGUUAGCGGCGGACGGGUGAGUAACACGUGGAUAACCUACCUAUAAGACUGGGAUAACUUCGGGAAACCGUAGCUAAUACCGGAUAAUAUUUUGAACCGCAUGGUUCAAAAGUGAAAGACGGUCUUGCUGUCACUUAUAGAUGGAUCCCCGCGUCAUUAGCUAGUUGGUAAGGUAACGGCUUACCAAGGCAACGAUGCAUAGCCGACCUGGGAGGGGGAUCGGCCACACUGGAACUGGGACACGGUCCAGACUCCUACGGGAGGCAGCAGUAGGGAAUCUUGCGAAAUGGGCGAAAGCCUGACGGAGCAACGCCGCGUGAGUGAUGAAGGUCUUCGGAUCGUAAAACUCUGUUAUUAGGGAAGAACGUAUGUGUAAGUAAAUGUGCACAUCUUGACGGUACCUAAUCAGAAAGCCACGGCUAACUACGUG